UUCAGUUUUUUUUAAAUAAAAGUGAAGAAAAAUAUUUGAACGUUCAUUUGGUUAACAACCUAACAGAUUUUUCAGCAGCUUGCGCUCCAACGUAUUCCUGAUAUUUUGGAGAGAUUCUUUUCUAAAAAUUUGAAACACAUCAGUACUAUCUAUAUAUAACAACAGAGCUAUAUAAGAUAGCUUAUCCUCUUCCAUUGAAUUGAUCAUUGUUUCCCUCAGAUUUUGAAGAGAAGCAUUCACGGUGGUCAUCAAGGAUAAAACUUGUUCAUCUUCUCCCCAAUACGAGAACCGGGGUCCUAAAAUCUUUAAGACGACGCUGCCCAUAACCGAACACUCCAGGCCUUUUUGUAGUUGAGCUAGAGAAGGGCUGCUAAAGUGCAGGAAGAGUAAAUGAGUGAGGAGUAAAUGAGUGCUCAAGGACCCUCCCACAGCGCCAUACAAGGAAAAAAAACCAUACAAUAAGUGUGUUAAUGGAGAUUAUAAAAGUGAAACUAAACAAGUAUGUGAGGUAAGGAAGUAAACUAUAUUACUACUAGUACUUCCGUUUUUUAUUAUGUGCAACGAUUUGACGUAAAAUAGAGAGAGAAAAUGUAUAAUAGUUGCAAAUAAUAGAAAACGGAGUUAGUAAUUAGGAUGGUCAUCAAACACGUGAUUCAUUGUAUCACAUAUUUGGGUUGUUUUUUUUUUUACAUUCUAAAACCAAGUCAAACUAACCCACUUAUUAAUACAACUUAUGCCAUAGCUCAUAUAGACCAUAUUGUAAACAAAAAAAGAGAUAAAGAGAGAUCAUGGAGAUGGAUAAGAGGUUGUAUGAAACUGCUCUUGAAGGAAAUAUACCAAACUUAAACGGAACAAAAAGAGAGCAACUUUAUCUACAAACGACACAAAAGGUGAGAUGAACUCCAUUGUUUUUGACUCUUGAUGCUUGAAUCUGGAACUCCAUUCAUCUCUUUCUCUCUCCUUCGUGCUCUUUUUGUCACUCAACUCCAUUGUUGCUCCUUGCUUCAACCAUACCCAUGACAUUCCUCCGAUCUUAUUAAUAAUGAGGAUUAAUACAAGUAUCUAUUAUAUUCACAACUUCCUAUUUGUGAUAUAGUGUUAGAAGUAUUACGAGUACAGUACAUAUUACUAGUUGUUACACUAGAGAUAGUGAGAUACCAAUACAUAUUAGAGAGUAUUAUCGUAAUAUUUUAUCUUCUAGUUUGUUAAGUUUACAUGAUCGUAAUUAUCUUCUAGUAUGUUAAGCUCACAUGAUCCUCCGAGUUUGUAUGAAAUUGUUGAAGAUAAAUCAUGUUCACAUUGAGCUAGUUUUAUUAAGUCAAUUGUUAUCUUCUAGUUUGUUAAUUAAGUUGUUAAUACAUUAGACUGGUAUUUAUCAUUAAUUAUAGCAAAUAUUCGUGAUUAUGGUGGAUGGCUUUAUCUAGUAACAAAGACGGGACAAAAGAGGUAUUUAAGUGGAGAGAAAAAGAGACAAUCAUUUUAUGCGAUGUUUGUCUUCUUUUUAUUAAGACCAAUGGUCGUAGUUCAUUUUACAAUUGUAAGGAUAUUCAAAUAGAUGUCGAAAAAAGAAUCGAGCGUGAUUUUAAUAAUUUGCAAACCUGCAAGAACAAAUAUGACACAACGAGAAAAGAUUGGAUUAUAUGGAAAUCACUUAAAUCAUCAGAAACUGGUUUAGGAUGGGAUCAAAUUUCAGGAAAAAAUUGAUGCUACGAACGAAUGGUGACAAAGAAAAAUCAAGGAGUGUUUUUGUUACUAUUAAUACAAGUUCACUCAUAUAUAAAUAUAUGACUAGUGGGAUAAUAUAUGAAUUUGAAUCCUUUAAUUUUCUUUCUUU
This is a long non-coding RNA of Beta vulgaris subsp. vulgaris (sugar beet), 1834 nucleotides long. RefSeq lists it as uncharacterized. Lineage: Eukaryota; Viridiplantae; Streptophyta; Magnoliopsida; Caryophyllales; Amaranthaceae. The transcript has 3 exons. The record is from RefSeq and is a predicted model, not a curated record.